Molecule: ribosomal RNA, 253 nt
Filed under: uncultured bacterium
Lineage: Bacteria
Description: partial 16S ribosomal RNA
Rfam family: Bacterial small subunit ribosomal RNA
Source: RNAcentral
UACGGAGGAUUCGAGCGUUAUCCGGAUUUAUUGGGUUUAAAGGGUGCGUAGGCGGAAUGGUAAGUCAGCUGUGAAAUUUUACGGCUCAACUGUGAAAUUGCAGUUGAUACUGUUUGUCUUGAGUAUACAUGGGGUAGGCGGAAUUUGUGGUGUAGCGGUGAAAUGCUUAGAUAUCACAAAGAACUCCAAUUGCGAAGGCAGCUCACUGGGGUAUAACUGACACUGAUGCACGAAGGUGUGGGGAUCAAACAGG